Non-coding RNA from Silurus meridionalis, 882 nucleotides. The record is from the annotation of a RefSeq genome assembly. Lineage: Eukaryota; Metazoa; Chordata; Actinopteri; Siluriformes; Siluridae.
UGAACCAAUCAGAUCAGUCCACAGCUUCAAAUCAUCCAAUCAGGUGUGAGUGAGAGCUGCUUUUCUACUGAACACACAAGUUGAUUUCCUCACUAUCACUGUGUCUGAACAGGAACGAUGAUCUCACUCUUUGUGGCGCUUUACUCUCUGCUUUGUCUCUGCACAGCUGUAAAAACAUCUGACAUCAAGGAGCUUCACGUGAGAACAGUAAAGAGUGGAGAAGAUGUAACUAUAGCGUGUGAUCUCAGUCUGAUCACAGACAAAAGUAAAGUAGUCUGGUACAGACAGAGUUUUGGAAAAGUGCCUCAGUUUUUUGCAAAACGUUACGGGACAAAUAGUUACACAUUUACUGAUGGAUUUAAUGAUAAUCGCUUAAAUUUUACUGUAAAUGAGCAUCAGUUUGAUCUCAACAUUACGAACCUGAGAGAAGAUGAUGGAGGAGAAUAUUUCUGUGGAGAAAUGGAGGGAACUACAAUAAAGUUCACAUCUGGAGCACGUCUGCAAUUUGAAGAGAUGAAACUCUGUCCUUCACCUGGACCAGAAAUCAAGACCACAGGUUCUGUUACACACCAGGAUUCACACAGCAGUGAUGAAAACCGUGCUUCAUCACGAAAGCCUGAAAUCAGCAGCAAUCAGGCUGAUGAUGAAGAUGUCUUGAACUAUGCAGCUGUGAGUUUUGCUAAGAAACCUUCAUCCUCCAGAACAUCCAGAGACCAGAGACAUGAAGACGUUUAUGCACAAGUUCAAAUCAAAUAGAUCCAAAGAAAUGAGUUCAGACUUGAAAAUCAAUAGAAAUUGAAUUAUUCCCCAGUUUGUAGACAAACGUGUCAUAUUUUAAUCAGAAAUCAUUUUUAUUGCUGUAAUUUAUCAUAAUUUCCAAAC